RNAcentral lists this long non-coding RNA (599 nucleotides) under Homo sapiens (human). RNAcentral describes it as "non-protein coding lnc-ITPKB-3:1". Lineage: Eukaryota; Metazoa; Chordata; Mammalia; Primates; Hominidae. The record is from RNAcentral.
GGCCAACAUAGUGAAACCCCGUCUCUACUAAAAAUACAAAAAUUAGCUGAACGUGGUGGCGCAUGCCUGUAAUCCCAGCUACUCUGGUGGCUGAGGCACGAGAAUCGCCUGGACCUGGGAGGCAGAAAUAACUAAAAUCAGAAGUAUAAGGGAAAAUUUUAUUACUGACCAACAGAAAACAAAAGAAUUAUAAGAGGAACAACUGUAUGCCCACAGAGUAGAUAACCUAGAUGAAAUGGACAAAUUCUUAGAAGGAUACAAAUAACCCAGUAUGACUCAUGGCAAAAUAGAAAAUCUCUGCAGACCUAUAACAAGUAAAGACAUUGAAUCAGUAAUCAAAAACCUUCUGACAGACCCUCCUGCACUCCACAACCCCACUCCAGCGGCUUGUUAAAAAAAGACAGGCCACCUUCUAACAAAGAAAAGUCCAAGACCACACCACUUCACUGCUGAAUUGAACCAAACACUUAAAGAAAAAUUAACAGCAAUCCUUCCCAAACUCUUUUUUGAGAAGGCACCUGUCGUCCCAGCUACUCUGGGGGCUGAGGCAGGAGGAUCACCUGAGACUUCGGAGGUCGAGACUUCAGUGAGCCAUGAUU